GACAGAGGUGGCAAGCGUUGUUCGGAAUUACUGGGCGUAAAGGGCGCGUAGGCGGUCUUUUAAGUCUUGUGUGAAAUCCCUCGGCUCAACUGAGGAACUGCACGGGAUACUGGAAGACUUGAGUUCGGGAGAGGGAAGCGGAAUUCCGGGUGUAGCGGUGAAAUGCGUAGAUAUCCGGAGGAACACCGGUGGCGAAGGCGGCUUCCUGGACCGAUUACUGACGCUGAGGCGCGAAAGCUAGGGGAGCAAACAGG
This 254-nucleotide ribosomal RNA is filed under the name uncultured bacterium. Its description in RNAcentral is "partial 16S ribosomal RNA". It matches the Rfam family "Bacterial small subunit ribosomal RNA", at positions 524 to 776 of the family's 1533-position model. The record is from RNAcentral.